This is a long non-coding RNA of Lacerta agilis (Sand lizard), 515 nucleotides long. RefSeq lists it as uncharacterized. NCBI's taxonomy places the organism in Eukaryota, Metazoa, Chordata, Lepidosauria, Squamata, Lacertidae. The transcript has 3 exons. The record is from RefSeq and is a predicted model, not a curated record.
GUUUGUCCUUCAGAUCAGGUCUACUCUUCAGUUCUAUCGGCCAGUUUCAUGACUCCUAGUUCUGGCUCACUCCAGACUUCUGCCCACGGCUCAGCCCUGCCCAGCUGGUAGUUUUGGAAUUACUGCUUUAUUGGAAACAAGAGCAAGAAUGAAUUGGGACACAGCUCAGAAGCACUGUUCAGCAGAUCAUCAUCGUCCUUUGUCCUGUGCACCAUAGCAGCAAUCUCCAAACUGUUGCUGUCCCUGAGAUCCGGAAUGUCAUUGGAUAAGAUGUCGUGGACUAUCACUGGCUCCACACCUUGUGUGUUCCACUUGGUUCCAGAAAAGUCAAGCAUCCUUUUCACUGAACUGCAGAGGAACCAAAUUGAUCAUCAGAUGGAGAUCUGAAUGGAUAAGGACAGACUACUUUGCUGGGGAGCACCUCAAGUUGAUGCUGUCUUAAACACCCUAUAAGCAAGCUCUGGAACAGAAAGCAGAUCUGAUACCUUCUUCUUGCCCUAAAACAGCAAAGGCAG